ACAUCCGCCAUCGGCUGUAGUUCCUGUGCUGCGCUCGCCUUGGUUGCCCACCGCAGCACAUGCACCAUCGCCUCAAGCCGACGUGACUCGCCUCAAGUCGUCGUGGCUCGCCUCACCACGCCGGUUCGCCGGUAUGCCUCCGCCUCCACCAUGGACUAGCGCCGUCAAGCUGCCCCGGCCGAUUCGCCGCCGCGAGCUCCACCUCAAGUCGCCAUGCCCUGCUCCCGCUGCUGUCCUCCGCUGUCGCACCACGAGCCGCCUCGCCACCUCGGUCGGCACCACUGCGUCGCGCUGUCCUCACCAUGAGCCGCCGCGACGCGCCUUCUUCCACUGCCCACGUCGUCGGUGCUACCUCCACGG
RNAcentral lists this long non-coding RNA (360 nucleotides) under Hordeum vulgare. RNAcentral's name for it is "long non-coding RNA (HVUL_LNC010653)". The record is from RNAcentral. Lineage: Eukaryota; Viridiplantae; Streptophyta; Magnoliopsida; Poales; Poaceae.